GAUGAACGCUGGCGGCGCACAUAAGACAUGCAAGUCGAACGAGUAGAGAUAUUUCUUUUAGUUAUAUCAAAGCUAGUGGCGGACUGGUGAGUACAAUGUAAGCAACCUGCCUAUUAGAGGGGAACAACAGUUAGAAAUGACUGCUAAUACCGCAUAUGCCAUAAUGUUCACAUGAACAUAGUGGGAAAGGAGCAAUUCGCUAAUAGAUGGGCUUACACCUGAUUAGCUAGUUGGUAAGGUAACGGCUUACCAAGGCAACGAUCAGUAGCCGAACUGAGAGGUUAAACGGCCACAUUGGGACUGAGAUACGGCCCAGACUCCUACGGGAGGCAGCAGUCGGGAAUAUUGCGCAAUGGAGGAAACUCUGACGCAGUGACGUCGCGUGCAGGAAGAAGGUUUUCGGAUUGUAAACUGCUUUAGUACAGGGAAGAACAAAGACAGUACCUGUAGAAUAAG
This 456-nucleotide ribosomal RNA is filed under the name uncultured bacterium. Its description in RNAcentral is "bacterial SSU rRNA". It matches the Rfam family "Bacterial small subunit ribosomal RNA", at positions 28 to 490 of the family's 1533-position model. The record is from RNAcentral.